This 241-nucleotide ribosomal RNA is filed under the name Acinetobacter baumannii. RNAcentral's name for it is "partial 23S ribosomal RNA". It matches the Rfam family "Bacterial large subunit ribosomal RNA", at positions 2469 to 2709 of the family's 2925-position model. Lineage: Bacteria; Pseudomonadati; Pseudomonadota; Gammaproteobacteria; Moraxellales; Moraxellaceae. The record is from RNAcentral.
UGGGGAUAACAGGCUGAUACCGCCCAAGAGUUCAUAUCGACGGCGGUGUUUGGCACCUCGAUGUCGGCUCAUCUCAUCCUGGGGCUGAAGCAGGUCCCAAGGGUAUGGCUGUUCGCCAUUUAAAGAGGUACGCGAGCUGGGUUUAGAACGUCGUGAGACAGUUCGGUCCCUAUCUACCGUGGGCGCUGGAAAUUUGAGAGGAUCUGCUCCUAGUACGAGAGGACCAGAGUGGACGAACCUC